RNAcentral lists this small RNA (592 nucleotides) under Pan troglodytes (chimpanzee). RNAcentral's name for it is "processed transcript". The record is from RNAcentral. Lineage: Eukaryota; Metazoa; Chordata; Mammalia; Primates; Hominidae.
CCUCACAGUUCACUGCCGUGGUAUUUCUUCUGUCCCAUGCUUUGCAUGACUGCCAUGGUACAGCCUUGUUUCAAACUGUUCACUGUGAUCUGUGGGUCUUUGAGUUUCAGUGAGUUUGCUGAAAUGUCGAAGAAGUAGUUCCAAACUUCAAUGUUCAAUGAAAUUUUUGUUCAAGUUUGAAAUGGAGAGAGCAGCUUUAAAAGGUACUAAGCCUUUUACAAAUUGAUGUGGAAGAUGUGAAAUUUGUCAUCAAUUAUGACUACCCUAACUCCUCAGAGGAUUAUAUUCAUCGAAUUGGAAGAACUGCUCGCAGUACCAAAACAGGCACAGCAUACACUUUCUUUACACCUAAUAACAUAAAGCAAGUGAGCGACCUUAUCUCUGUGCUUCGUGAAGCUAAUCAAGCAAUUAAUCCCAAGUUGCUUCAGUUGGUCGAAGACAGAGGUUCAGGUCGUUCCAGGGGUAGAGGAGGCAUGAAGGAUGACCGUCGGGACAGAUACUCUGCGGGCAAAAGGGGUGGAUUUAAUACCUUUAGAGACAGGGAAAAUUAUGACAGAGGUUACUCUAGCCUGCUUAAAAGAGAUUUUGGGGC